RNAcentral lists this ribosomal RNA (419 nucleotides) under bacterium. Its description in RNAcentral is "partial 16S ribosomal RNA". It matches the Rfam family "Bacterial small subunit ribosomal RNA", at positions 355 to 776 of the family's 1533-position model. The record is from RNAcentral.
UGGGGGAUAUUGCACAAUGGGCGAAAGCCUGAUGCAGCGACGCCGCGUGGGGGAUGAAGGCCUUCGGGUUGUAAACUUCUUUUGCUCUGAACAAGGCAUGCUAAUGGGUGUGUUGAGUGUAGGGGUUGAUUAGCGCCGGCUAACUACGUGCCAGCAGCCGCGGUAAUACGUAGGGCGCGAGCGUUGUCCGGAAUUAUUGGGGGUAAAGGGCUUGUAGGUGGCUGGUUGCGUCUGUCGUGAAAGCUCAUGGCUUAACUGUGGGUUUGCGGUGGGUACGGGCUGGCUUGAGUGCAGUAGGGGAGGCUGGAAUUCCUGGUGUAGCGGUGGAAUGCGCAGAUAUCAGGAGGAGUACCGGUGGCGAAGGCGGGUCUCUGGGCUGUUACUGACACUGAGGAGCGAAAGCAUGGGGAGCGAACAGG